GAAAACCACCCCGAUGAGGGGAGUGAAACAGUACCUGAAACCGGAUGCUUACAAGCUGAGGGAGCUCUUCGGAGUGACCUCGUACCUUUUGUAUAAUGGGUCAACGACUUAGUGUUGUAUGCAAGCUUAAACCGUUAGGUGUAGGCGCAGCGAAAGCGAGUCUGAAUAGGGCGACCGAGUAUGCAGCAUUAGACCCGAAGGCAAGUGAUCUAGGUAUGGGCAGGGUGAAGGUGCAGUAACAUGCACUGGAGGCCCGAACCGUUGAGCGUUGAAAAGCUCUCGGAUGACCUGUGCCUAGGGGUGAAAGGCCAAUCAAACUUGCUGAUAGCUGGUUCUCCGCGAAAUCUAUUUAGGUAGAGCGUCGAUCGAAUACUCUUGGGGGUAGAGCACUGACUGGGCUAGGGGUCCUCACCGGAUUACCAAACCUUAUCAAACUCCGAAUACCAAGAAGUACUAAUCGGCAGACACACAGCGGGUGCUAACGUCCGUCGUGGAGAGGGAAACAACCCUGACCACCAAUUAAGGUCCCCAAAUAAUGGCUAAGUGUGAAAGGAUGUGGGAUUGCUUUGACAAUGAGGAGGUUGGCUUAGAAGCAGCCAUCCUUUAAAGA
Molecule: ribosomal RNA, 610 nt
Filed under: Ochromonas sp. CCMP1393
Lineage: Eukaryota; Chrysophyceae; Chromulinales; Chromulinaceae
Description: partial Bacterial large subunit ribosomal RNA
Rfam family: Bacterial large subunit ribosomal RNA
Source: RNAcentral